Molecule: ribosomal RNA, 816 nt
Filed under: uncultured bacterium
Lineage: Bacteria
Description: bacterial SSU rRNA
Rfam family: Bacterial small subunit ribosomal RNA
Source: RNAcentral
CAAGUCGAACGGGAAUCUUCGGAUUCUAGUGGCGGACGGGUGAGUAACGCGUAAGAAUCUAACUUCAGGACGGGGACAACAGUUGGAAACGACUGCUAAUACCCGAUAUGCCGCGAGGUGAAACCUAAUUGGCCUGAAGAAGAGCUUGCGUCUGAUUAGCUAGUUGGUGGGGUAAGAGCCUACCAAGGCGACGAUCAGUAGCUGGUCUGAGAGGAUGAGCAGCCACACUGGGACUGAGACACGGCCCAGACUCCUACGGGAGGCAGCAGUGGGGAAUUUUCCGCAAUGGGCGAAAGCCUGACGGAGCAACGCCGCGUGAGGGAGGAAGGUCUUUGGAUUGUAAACCUCUUUCCUCAAGGAAGAAGUUCUGACGGUACUUGAGGAAUCAGCCUCGGCUAACUCCGUGCCAGCAGCCGCGGUAGUACGGGGGAGGCAAGCGUUAUCCGGAAUUAUUGGGCGUAAAGCGUCCGCAGGUGGUCAGCCAAGUCUGCUGUCAAAUCAGGUUGCUUAACGACCUAAAGGCGGUGGAAACUGGCAGACUAGAGAGCAGUAGGGGUAGCAGGAAUUCCCAGUGUAGCGGUGAAAUGCGUAGAGAUUGGGAAGAACAUCGGUGGCGAAAGCGUGCUACUGGGCUGUAUCUGACACUCAGGGACGAAAGCUAGGGGAGCGAAAGGGAUUAGAUACCCCUGUAGUCCUAGCCGUAAACGAUGGAUACUAGGCGUGGCUUGUAUCGACCCGAGCCGUGCCGAAGCUAACGCGUUAAGUAUCCCGCCUGGGGAGUACGCACGCAAGUGUGAAACUCAAAGGAAUUGACGG